This 167-nucleotide ribosomal RNA is filed under the name uncultured Fulvimarina sp. RNAcentral's name for it is "partial 16S ribosomal RNA". Lineage: Bacteria; Pseudomonadati; Pseudomonadota; Alphaproteobacteria; Hyphomicrobiales; Aurantimonadaceae. The record is from RNAcentral.
CCUACGGGAGGCAGCGGUGGGGAAUCUUACACAAGGCACGGAACCCUGAUCCAGCCCAGCCGCGCAACCAAGAAGGAGUUACGGCGGUAAAGCAAUGUAUCCCGGAAGAACGUAAACCCCUUAUCGCGAGGAGAAUGACGGUACCUCAGAAUAAGCAAGCUACACCG